This 480-nucleotide ribosomal RNA is filed under the name uncultured bacterium. RNAcentral's name for it is "partial 16S ribosomal RNA". It matches the Rfam family "Bacterial small subunit ribosomal RNA", at positions 28 to 507 of the family's 1533-position model. The record is from RNAcentral.
GACGAACGCUGGCGGCGUGCUUAACACAUGCAAGUCGAACGAUGAAGAAAAGACUCGAAGCUUCGGCAGAAAUUCAUUUCGGAUUAGUGGCAGACGGGUGAGUAACGCGUGAGCAACCUCCCUCUUACAAAGGGAUAGCCUCGGGAAACCGGGAUUAAUACCAUAUAACAUUGUGACGAAGCAUUUCGAUGCAAUCAAAGCUACGGCGGUAAGAGAUGGGCUCGCGUCCCAUUCACCGGAUGGUGAGGUAACGGCUCACCAUAGUGACGAUGGGUAACCGGGCUGAGAGGGUGGACGGUCACACUGGAACUGAGACACGGUCCAGACUCCUACGGGAGGCAGCAGUGGGGAAUAUUGCACAAUGGAGGGAAUGCUGAUGCAGCGACGCCGCGUGAGUGAUGAAGGAAGUCGUUACGUAAAACUCUGUUCUAUGGGAAGAAAAGGACUGUACCAUAGGAGAAAGCUCCGGCUAAAUACGUG